CGUGAAGAAUGCAGUCGAGCGCUGAUUCAAGGGUAGCAAUAUUCUUGAGUCGGAGCGGCGCAAGGGUGCGUAACACGUGGGUAAUUUGCCAUAAAGUCUGGAAUAACUUGCUGAAAGGCGAGCUAAUGCCGGAUGUGAUUUUCGGGGAGCAUUUCCUGAAACUCAAAGCUGGGGAUUCGCAAGAACCUGGCGCUUUUUGAUAAGCCCGCGGCCUAUCAGCUAGUUGGUGAGGUAAUGGCUCACCAAGGCUAAGACGGGUAGCUGGUCUGAGAGGACGACCAGCCACACUGGAACUGAGACACGGUCCAGACACCUACGGGUGGCAGCAGUCGAGAAUUUUUCACAAUGGGCGAAAGCCUGAUGGAGCGACGCCGCGUGGGGGAUGAAUGGCUUCGGCCCGUAAACCCCUGUCAUUUGCGAACAAACCUUUUCAUUUAACAUGUGAAAAGCUGAUUGUAGCGGAAGAGGAAGGGACGGCUAACUCUGUGCCAGCAGCCGCGGUAAUACAGAGGUCCCAAGCGUUGUCCGGAUUCACUGGGCGUAAAGGGUGCGUAGGUGGUGAGGAAAGUCGGAUGUGAAAUCUCCGGGCUCAACCCGGAAAUGGCAUUGGAAACUACCUUGCUAGAGGAUUUGAGGGGGGAUUGGAAAUACUUGGUGUAGCAGUGAAAUGCGUAGAUAUCAAGUGGAAACACCAGUGGCGAAGGCGAAUCCCUGUAAAAUACCUGACACU
This 730-nucleotide ribosomal RNA is filed under the name uncultured bacterium. RNAcentral's name for it is "bacterial SSU rRNA". It matches the Rfam family "Bacterial small subunit ribosomal RNA", at positions 45 to 747 of the family's 1533-position model. The record is from RNAcentral.